Molecule: ribosomal RNA, 490 nt
Filed under: Cryptosporidium sp. vole genotype V
Lineage: Eukaryota; Apicomplexa; Conoidasida; Eucoccidiorida; Cryptosporidiidae
Description: partial small subunit ribosomal RNA
Rfam family: Eukaryotic small subunit ribosomal RNA
Source: RNAcentral
AUGAGUUAAGUAUAAACCCCUUUACAAGUAACAAUUGGAGGGCAAGUCUGGUGCCAGCAGCCGCGGUAAUUCCAGCUCCAAUAGCGUAUAUUAAAGUUGUUGCAGUUAAAAAGCUCGUAGUUGGAUUUCUGUUAAUAAUUUAUAUUAAUAUACAUUUUUGUAUUUAAUAUGAUAUUAACAUAAUUCAUAUUACUAAUUUUUUUUAGUAUAUGAAAUUUUACUUUGAGAAAAUUAGAGUGCUUAAAGCAGGCAAUUGCCUUGUAUACUACAGCAUGGAAUAAUAAUAAAAGAUUUUUAUCUUUUUUUUUUAUUGGUUCUAAGAUAAAAAUAAUGAUUAAUAGGGACAGUUGGGGGCAUUUGUAUUUAACAGUUAGAGGUGAAAUUCUUAGAUUUGUUAAAGACAAACUAAUGCGAAAGCAUUUGCCAAGGAUGUUUUCAUUAAUCAAGAACGAAAGUUAGGGGAUCGAAGACGAUCAGAUACCGUCGUAGU